GUUCUCCCUCGCCGCUACUGAGAGGAAGGAUAUCACCGGCGAACACAGCCACUUCCUCCUUCUGCUCGCGGCUCCUGACGGGGAGGGCACCAGGUGUGAUCUUCAGAAGGAAUGUGACGACUUCUCCUCCAGGAAAGCCGGGAAAUGAUUCAAACCACACCAUGUACCUCUGAGAUCAUGUGUCCGUACAGUUCCAAUGUUAGAUCCCAUCAAACAGGCCAUAACAGUGCUACUUCAGGGGCUACGCUCCUUUCAAACAUAUCCUUAUAGUUGUCCCUGAUCUUCGUGACGCAGCUUUUGCAUGCAAGACUUUGUUUAGCUUUUCAGCGACGUGCCACGCAUCGAAGGUGGAGUCAAAGUGACAACAUUACAGAUGACUGGAAUUAAAUAAUGCGUAAGGCUAU
Long non-coding RNA from Pseudoliparis swirei, 404 nucleotides. RefSeq lists it as uncharacterized. The transcript has 2 exons. Lineage: Eukaryota; Metazoa; Chordata; Actinopteri; Perciformes; Liparidae. The record is from RefSeq and is a predicted model, not a curated record.